This 553-nucleotide ribosomal RNA is filed under the name Rhencus panamensis (Panama grunt). RNAcentral's name for it is "partial 16S ribosomal RNA". It matches the Rfam family "Bacterial large subunit ribosomal RNA", at positions 1858 to 2606 of the family's 2925-position model. The record is from RNAcentral. Lineage: Eukaryota; Metazoa; Chordata; Actinopteri; Lutjaniformes; Haemulidae.
CCUGCCCUGUGACUAUAUGUUUAACGGCCGCGGUAUUUUGACCGUGCGAAGGUAGCGCAAUCACUUGUCUUUUAAAUGGGGACCUGUAUGAAUGGCAUAACGAGGGCUUAACUGUCUCCUUUUUCAAGUCAAUGAAAUUGAUCUCCCCGUGCAGAAGCGGGGAUAAACACAUAAGACGAGAAGACCCUGUGGAGCUUUAGACACUAAGAGAGACCAUGUUAAACACUCCUAAAUACAGGGCCAAACUAAAUGCAUCCUCCCCUAAUGUCUUCGGUUGGGGCGACCAUGGGGAAAAAUCCAACCCCCACGCGGAAAGGGAGCACUUCCUCCUCCUAAAACCAAGAGUCACCACUCUAACGAACAGAAUCUCUGACCUCAAGAUCCGGCCUGCGCCGAUCAACGGACCAAGUUACCCCAGGGAUAACAGCGCAAUCCUCUUUUAGAGCCCAUAUCGACAAGGGGGUUUACGACCUCGAUGUUGGAUCAGGACAUCCUAAUGGUGCAGCCGCUAUUAAGGGUUCGUUUGUUCAACGAUUAAAGUCCUACGUGAUCU